GGCAAGUCUGGUGCCAGCAGCCGCGGUAAUUCCAGCUCCAAUAGCGUAUAUUAAAGUUGUUGCAGUUAAAGCUCGUAGUUGGACCGGAGGUGGAGGAGGGAGCGUCGCAAGACGCAGCUCUCGUCCAUGAAAUUGGAGGAAGGUCUUGGAAACAAGAUCCGCGCCCUCAGGUUACUGUGAAGAAAUUAGAGUGUUUAAAGCAGGCUUACGCUUGAAUACAUCAGCAUGGAAUAACAAGAUAUGGAAGAUGGAAGAUCUUGUGGUUUAAUCCAUUUUAUGAUAAUAGGAUCAGUUGGGGCAUUAGUAUUCAAUAGUCAGAGGUGAAAUUCUUGGAUUUAUUGAAGACUAACGAGAGCGAAAGCAUUUGCCAAGGAUGAAUUCAUUAAUCAAGAACGAAA
RNAcentral lists this ribosomal RNA (398 nucleotides) under uncultured Rozellomycota. Its description in RNAcentral is "bacterial SSU rRNA". It matches the Rfam family "Eukaryotic small subunit ribosomal RNA", at positions 554 to 988 of the family's 1831-position model. Lineage: Eukaryota; Fungi; Rozellomycota. The record is from RNAcentral.